RNAcentral lists this ribosomal RNA (445 nucleotides) under uncultured bacterium. Its description in RNAcentral is "bacterial SSU rRNA". It matches the Rfam family "Bacterial small subunit ribosomal RNA", at positions 338 to 795 of the family's 1533-position model. The record is from RNAcentral.
CCUACGGGGUGCACCAGUGGGGAAUAUUGCACAAUGGGCGCAAGCCUGAUGCAGCGACGCCGCGUGGGGGAUGACGGCCUUCGGGUUGUAAACCUCUUUCAGCAGGGAAGAAGCGAAAGUGACGGUACCUGCAGAAGAAGCGCCGGCUAACUACGUGCCAGCAGCCGCAGUAAUACGUAGGGCGCAAGCGUUGUCCGGAAUUAUUGGGCGUAAAGAGCUCGUAGGCGGUUUGUCGCGUCUGCUGUGAAAGCCCGGGGCUCAACCCCGGGUGUGCAGUGGGUACGGGCAGGCUGGAGUGCAGUAGGGGAGACUGGAAUUCCUGGUGUAGCGGUGAAAUACGCAGAUAUCAGGAGGAACACCGAUGGCGAAGGCAGGUCUCUGGGCUGUUACUGACGCUGAGGAGCGAAAGCAUGGGGAGCGAACAGGAUUAGAUACCCCCGUAGUC